RNAcentral lists this long non-coding RNA (1116 nucleotides) under Bos taurus (domestic cattle). Its description in RNAcentral is "long non-coding RNA NONBTAT019000". The record is from RNAcentral. Lineage: Eukaryota; Metazoa; Chordata; Mammalia; Artiodactyla; Bovidae.
UUAAGGAUGGCUUGAAGUUGGAAAUAAGCAUUUUGUUUAUAGGAAAACCUAGUAAAGCCUUUUAUAUAUACUUCAGCCCUUAUUGAUCUCCCUGUGGAGCAUCUGUAUAUAUUUGUAAAGUUUUAUAACUGUUAGCAUUUUUUAUGUUACUGUAUUUCUUUUUAUUUACUAAUUUGUAUAGAAAUAUUAUUUGUAUUCCAUAGAUUAUCUCACCCAGUCCUCAUAAUAAUCAUUGUACAGAUAAGGGAGUGGAGGAUCGAAGGAAUUCUAGAAGUCUUCCACUGCCCACCGUCUCAGGGCCAGAGUCGUAGAGUGAAGCGCAGGGUUUUGGCUGCUCAUACGGCUGUUUCCUUGACAAGGGCCAGAAAACUCAGUGGCAGUCUUCUGCUGCCACUUCCUCUAUGCUAGAGUUACAUCUCCUAUGAGGGAGGAGAUAGUGGGACAGGACUGACUAUACUUUGUAAUAAUCAUUGCGGGCAUUUUAUUAGCCAACCAAAAGAAAUGAUGUAGGUAAAAAGAAAUUUUAGCAGAGCAGUGAGAUUUUUGAUCACUGUCAAGUAGAAGGAUUUGUUUGCUUUUCAUGCAUAAGAAAUUAGAGAUUGAACCUCAGUAGAGCAGAUGUAUUUAUUUACUGCUGGGGGAGCAACCCCCAUUUUUUCUUGUUAUAGUUAUUUUCUUUGCCUAUAAUAAAUAUAGGCAUCUUUUCUUUUAUAGUUACUUUCUUUGCCUAUAAGGAGUAAUAUCAGCUAGCUGCAGCUAGGUUUUUAGUGCAAAGAAAUCACAUGAAGUCACAUAGGAGAUGUGUUACAGAUUAUAAAGAGUUUUUUAAACUGUAGUCACAUGGUUCUUGUAAUAUUCUUCAUACAGCUUCCCUUGUUUCCCUAAUGGGUCUUGGAUUAAUGCUCUUCUCCUGCAGCAGGAAGGGAUUAACAGGGAUUUCCCACUUGUUGGCCUCCUGAGGAGCUGUAAUGAGUAAAGGAAAGGAAAGAAAAUCUUAAAUCACUUCACACUUUGUUAAAAGUAAGCUUCUUCCAAGCAUUUCAGAGGGCAAUAGAAUAUAAAAUUUAGAAUUUUGAAGUAUUCUUUCACCCUUCUAUUUGGAGAGAGGGGAGUGGG